Long non-coding RNA from Cyprinus carpio carpio, 1156 nucleotides. The record is from Ensembl. Lineage: Eukaryota; Metazoa; Chordata; Actinopteri; Cypriniformes; Cyprinidae.
AACAUCUAUUAAAGUAAUUAGGCUAAAUUUUGCUUUCAUGUUGAUUUUAUGUAUAAAGAGCUGUCAUUAAAGCAACACGUAUGUUUCACCCUCCCUACAGUGUGUUGUGUCUGUGUGUCGGUGUGACUGUGGGAGCCGAGGGAGCAGAGGUGUCGGUGACACAGGGAGAGGAAUGGAGAGAGAGACGAUAGAUACGGAGGGAGCGAGAUGGUGAGAACAACAGACCUGCGGGAGGGAGGGGGCGCAUGGAGAGAGCGGAGUUCGAUGAACAGAGAAAAAGGGGAAGGAGCGAGACAGGACCCUGAGAGAGAGAGGGAAGGAAACGUUCAAGAUUCUGGAUGAGGGACAGAGCGGAUGGAGAAGGGGAAAGGCUGGAUACAAAGGGAGAGAGAGGAACUCAAGUGCUUGAACGCAGGAUCCAUCUGUUCGGUGUAUCGUCUGAUUUCCCCCUCCCAGCACCCUCCUCUUUCUCUUUUCCUCCCUCACCUCCCAUUAAAACCACGUAAGCCUGAUUUAUCAAGAAUUGGCUCUCAGGUAUGUGUGUGUGUGUGUGUGUGUGUGUGUGUGUGUGUGUGUGUGUGUGUGUGUGUGUGUGUGUGUGUGUGUGUGUGUGUGUGUUUCUUAACAGAACUGAGGGAACGUAUAACUGUGUUUCAUUACCGCUGUAAGAGACGUUAAGAUAAUCAUUCAAAUCGCUCAGAGUCGUACCCCACCCGGCUGCUAAUUCAAUCUGCCCACAGCAAAACAUGCCAAACAACAUCCAUUAUGGUCACACAGUUAAUUGGCAGAGGGUGGGGGCUCAGGCUUGAGUCAGGGGGGAAGCGUUGCAGCGGACAAAAGCAAUCUUGUCUUUUCACCGGUUUGAGAUGGUGGAACACAGCAAUGCUCUUGCAAUGCUUCGUAUUGUCAUUAGACAACAGACAAAGACACACAGGACAAUAAUAUAAACUGCUGGUGGGAUGAUGUUAAAAAUAUGUUCUGCAAUUUUAUAUAUUUGGGCUUCUAUUAAAAAUAUUAGUAAAUAUUAUAAAUGUGCUUCUAAAAUAUCACCAUGCUUGUAGCUUUUAAACGUACUUAAUCUGUUUAGAAUUAAGAUUUUAAAUUAUUUACAAGCCCUUGCUGUUUUGGAGCCAGAAAAAUACUAUUCUGGUUUAAA